This 278-nucleotide long non-coding RNA is filed under the name Manihot esculenta (cassava). RNAcentral's name for it is "long non-coding RNA (MESC_LNC003647)". Lineage: Eukaryota; Viridiplantae; Streptophyta; Magnoliopsida; Malpighiales; Euphorbiaceae. The record is from RNAcentral.
GUUGGUUCUCUUAUCCAUGCAAACAAAACAAGCAUAUUAAUUAUCAAAAAAUCUCUUGAAUCAAUCGCUGCAAAUCCCUGUGCCUCUGCCCACACCACAACUACGAUCGCAAAACUAAACGAAUUAGUAUAAAAAUAAUACCACAGAAACACAGACCAAAAUGGCUUAGAAGUGCUCCCUAAUUAAUUAAUUAAGAAAUUAAUUAGAGUAAAACAAUAGAUUAACUCUCUCUCCCUCCCCCACACCACUAGGCCUCCUUGAUAAAUUCUUGUGGUGUC